CGCGGCCUAUCAGCUUGUUGGUGAGGUAAUAGCUCACCAAGGCUAUGACGGGUAGCUGGUCUGAGAGGACGACCAGUCACAAUGGGACUGAGACACGGCCCAUACUCCUACGGGAGGCAGCAGUAAAGAAUCUUCCACAAUGGGCGAAAGCCUGAUGGAGCAAUACCGCGUGAACGAUGAAGGCCGAAAGGUCGUAAAGUUCUUUUCUGAGGGAAGAAAUCUGACGGUACCUUAGGAAUAAGCACCGGCUAACUCCGUGCCAGCAGCCGCGGUAAUACGGAGGGUGCAAGCGUUACCCGGAAUUAUUGGGCGUAAAGCGUCCGCAGGCGGCUAACCCAGCCAAAUAUUAAAUCUUAUAGCCCAACUAUGAGGCUGUAUUCGAAACUAGUUAGCUAGAGACUUUCAGGGGCAUGCGGAAUUCUGUGUGUAGGGGUAAAAUCCGUAGAUACACAGAGGAACACCAAAAGCGAAGGCAGCAUGCUGGGGAAGUUCUGACGCUCAUGGACGAAAGCGUGGGUAGCGAACGGGAUUAGAUACCCCGGUAGUCCACGCCGUAAACGAUGGAUACUAGUUGUUGGAGGACUCGACCCCUUCAGUGACGACGCUAACGCAUUAAGUAUCCCGCCUGGGGAGUACGGA
This 639-nucleotide ribosomal RNA is filed under the name uncultured bacterium. RNAcentral describes it as "bacterial SSU rRNA". It matches the Rfam family "Bacterial small subunit ribosomal RNA", at positions 232 to 886 of the family's 1533-position model. The record is from RNAcentral.